GAAAGGGCUGUGGCUCAGUGGAAAAGUAUCUGCUUUGCAUGCAGAAGGUCCCAGGUUCUAUUUCUGGCAUCUUCA
Podarcis lilfordi (Lilford's wall lizard) is the source of this 75-nucleotide non-coding RNA. The record is from the annotation of a GenBank genome assembly. Lineage: Eukaryota; Metazoa; Chordata; Lepidosauria; Squamata; Lacertidae.